This 1130-nucleotide ribosomal RNA is filed under the name Triticum aestivum (bread wheat). RNAcentral describes it as "partial small subunit ribosomal RNA". Lineage: Eukaryota; Viridiplantae; Streptophyta; Magnoliopsida; Poales; Poaceae. The record is from RNAcentral.
GAACAAAAUCAGAGAGAGCAACAAUAUGGCAAUUAGAGUCAACAGAGACCUCCCUAGCAUUAUUAUCAGCAGUUGAUUGCUCAAUAAGAUUCGCUUUGUCUAACUCAUCAAUAGCAUGCUCUCCAUCUAUAAGUUUCUUCUCCUUCAUCAUUGUCCUCAUCCAGCGGACCAAAAGCACCCACUUAUUCAAACCCUUCAACAGUGGAACCAACCAGGAACAAUUUCUUCUUCAUCUCAACAAGUCUUUCAAAAGGAAUUGCAAGUUACAAUCUGGCGCUGAAAACUACGAACUGCCUUUAAUGAUUUGGAGAAACAGAAUAAUACAGGGUAAAGAAAGUUGUUACAAAACCAAGUAAAAGAGGUAGCAUCAUCUUUCUUCUGAACCGGAAUGAACUGUUGUUACAAGGAUCUGCUGCUCCAAACUUACAUUACAUGGUCUAACGACACAGAUCGCAUCCAUAUAUAUUUCGCUAUGUACAGUACAAACUUCGCAUACACAGCAGCAAACUGGCCAUUACAAACAAAAGCGGUGAAGAAAGAACGCGGCAAACUGAAGGAGCAUGCAGCAACUAGUGUACAGUCCGGCCGGUCCGCCACCGCCCACGGGCACGCGGGAAGCCGGCCGGCGGGAAACCUGGCCGAUCUCAUCUCACUUGGGCCCCCAGAGCAGCAGGUGCAUCACCUUGGCCGUCUUGCCGUUGCCGUGGCCGACGCCGUCCUCCGCGCGCCGCCCCAGCUCCCUCCCCGCCGCCGCGCCGGCACGGGGCAGGUGCUGCCUCUGCUCGCCGUCGCGCGCCGGCGCCCACAGAGACGGCAGCCGCCCCCACCCGCCCUCGCGCCCGUUGUCGCUCACGUUGUCCAUCCCACCCGCUCGAUCCUCAGCUGGUCUGCACUCUGUACCCCGCUCUCAACACGCGCAUUCUGAGGUCUGGGCAGAGCUUGGCCUCCUCCUGUGCAGCCUCGCUCUUAUAAGCAGCAGCGCAUGGGCAGCAGCAGCGAGGAAAAAAUAUCGGGUGCUUUGAACGAAGCUCUGUGUAUGAUUGAGGCGAGCAUGUGGCCAGGAGCAUCCCGAUGAUCGGGCCGGAUUUUUCUGUUCCCUCGGCGGUGCGGCGCGGCAUCGGGAUCUUUCC